AUUUUCAUAGGCUACCCAUCUAAGUAACAAAAACAAUAACUUGUUAGAGUUCAUAUUUUACAUAUAAAAUGGUCACAUAUUUGGAUAAAUAUGCAUCAUACUGAAACUUUAAUUUGUUUUGCUAAUUAAAAUCUUAAUUUUUCUGAUUCUCUAUUAACCUUUCAAAGCAGAUGGGUUUGUCUAUAGGAGAAAUCAAAAUGGUAAGUCAGCAGAGAAAAGAGAACACUCACACACUGCUAUGGGAAUGUAUCAGUUUAUUAGCCACUGUGGAAAGCAGUUUGAAGAUUUCUCAAAUAACUAAAGAUAGAACUACUAUUGGACCCAGCAAUCCCAUUACUGGGUAUAUACCCAGGGGAAAACAAAUCAUUCUACCAAAAAGACAUUCACACAUGUAUUGUUUACUCCUGCACUAUUCACAAUAGAAAAAUGUGGAAUCAACCUAGGUGCUCAUCAAUUAAUGGUGCAUUGGAUAAAGAAAAUGUGGUACAUAUAAACCAUGGAAUACUAUACAGCCACAAAAAAGAAUGAAAUCAAGUCCUUUGCAGCAACCUGGAUACAGCUGAACGCCACUAUCCUAAGCGAAUUAACACAAACAGAAAACCAAAUGCCAAAUACUUAUGAGCAAGAACAUAUACUUAUGAGCAUGUUCUUGCUCAUAAGUGGGAGCUAAACCUUGGUUAUGCAUGGACAUAAAGAUAAAAAAAAAUAGGACCUGGGAACUACAAAAGGGGGCAGGAGGGAGGGGGGUUUGAAAAACUACCUAUUGCAUACUGUGCUCACUACUGGGGUGACGGAUUCAACCAUACCCCAAACUUCAGCAAAGCAUGCAAUAUGCCCACAACACAAACCUGCACAUGUACCCCCUGAAUCUAAAAUAAAAGUUGAAAAAACAAUUUAAUGUGAAAGAAAUGGCAAGCCUCAGAGUAUCCUGACAUGAACUUUUUGUUGUUCUCACUUUCCAAAUCCUAUUCCUUGAGAAAGCCACAAAGGUGUGCUGUUUCCCUAACUGUUCUAAGGAAACAAAAACAACGGGACUUUCAAGAAGAACCUAGUUCUUCUAAUAAACAAUCAAUAAACCCUUUCAUUCUCAACCUUAAAAUACUUUUGCAGAAAGAUCUUAGGAAACAGUGUCUGUUGCGCAACAAACCACACUGAAAAAGAAGUUAACAGAAUAAAUGCUUUUAAAAAAUGCAGAACUGAACUAAAAUAUUGUUUCAAACAGUGUUUCCAACAUCACAGAAAUAUGUAAUAAAGUUGAACAAACUCACAGAAAUACUAAAAAUAAAUCUCUUUUGGAAAUUUUUAUUUCUCUUUUAAGUGAUCUACACCCAGAUUGAAAAUCAACAAAACCAAUUUAAUCAUGCUAUUUCGUAUGCAAAGAUAAAGUCCUUGACGGGAAAAGGUUUUUCAGUCCUGUUAUAUUAAAGAGAUACUUAAUACUGUUAAAGACAUUAAGUAUCUCCUCAAUUAAUUCAUCACUCUCAUGAUCCUCUCAAAGCUUAAAGGAAUAACAUCUUUCAGAUAUUAUUAGAGUGAUCAGAACUUUGCAAAAUGUUUCUACAUCUGUUACCACAUUUAAUCUUCUAGGGAGGUACUGGUGUUGCCAUUUUACAGAUGGGAAAAACCUAAGACACAGGGAAGUGAAUUCAUUUACUAAGUGCCAGGAACUAGACUGGCACUAGAUAGAUAUACAACGAUGAAAAUGACAAAAUCCCUGUCCUCCAAAGUUCACAUUUGGGUAAGAAGCAUCACAUGGAAUUAUUUGUAGGUAUUUGUUUUGAAUGGGAAAUCACUUGUCCAGGGUGACACAAUCAACUGUUAGCCAGAACAUGAGUGAACCUGCCUGUCCUGAGGCUCACCAGGCUCUCCCAAAGUGCCAUGUGCCCUGUAAAGUUCCCUUACUAUCCAAAGGGCUGAUUUCAGCAAAAAUGAAAGUACAGUCAUUAUUAGAAUAUGGACAGCCAUCAAGGAGAAAAAGAAGACUACAAAAAUCUCCAGUGAGAAGUAGCUAUUACAGCCAACAUCUGUGCACUCACCCCCGGCCAUCCAAAUGGAGAAGCUGCUAUAACUACAGCCCCUAUCACCCCAACCCCCUGAUUUCAGAACCUCGCUAGCAAUUUUUAAAAACUGUUUUCUUUUUAAUUAUUAUUAUUAUUUUUUUAGUAGAGUCAAGAUUUCACUACGUUGGCCAGGCUGGUCUCGAACCUCUGACUUCAAGUGACCCGCCCGCCUCAACCUCGUAAAGUGCUAGGAUUACAGGCUUAAGCCAGCAUACCUAGCCUAAAAACCUAUUCAUUAUCAUUGAGAGGUGAGGAGAUAGGGGACUUGGCUCUACCUGCAGCCAUGACAUUAACUUUCAGAUAACUUUGAAGAAGUCACUUAACCUUUGUGAAAGUUCAUUUUGUUCAUUUUGUUUUGUGUUUUGAGAUGGAGUCUUGCUCUGUCACCAGACUGGAGUGCAAUGGUGCGAUCUCAGCUCACUGCAACCUCCACCUCCCAGGUUCAAGCAAUUCUCUUGCUUCAGUCUCCCGAGUAGCUGGGACUACAGGUGCGUGCCACCAUGCCCACCAAAUUUUUGUAUUUUUAGUAGAGAAAGGGUUUUACCAUGUUGGCUAGGAUGCUCUUGAUCUCUUGACCUCGUGAUCCACCUGCCUUGGCCUCCCAAAGUGCUGGGAUUACAGGCAUGAGCUACCGCGCCUGGCUGAAAGUUUGAAUUUUCAAGUGUAAGUAUGGGAGUAGGCCAAGGUCCCCGGGCUGACCAGGUGAUGCUGUCCAGCACACCAGUACCCACCUGUGCUGCCUCUGCCCACAGGGCCUUAGGCUUUACCCUCAGCAUGAAGGAAAGCAAAAGCAAAGCCAGAGCAGGAGCACUGCUAUGUAGAAAGAGUGUCUGCACAUCAAGAAAAUCUACUUCACAAAAACUAGAACUUAAAAAAAAAAAAAAAUGAACAAUUAGAGAAGAAGAGCCACAAGGAAAAAAUUGUUCUCAGCAGGGCUCCGGGUCCAUAACAAGUUAGAAAUCAGAGGGGUAAAGGCCUUUCUGUUUAACUUCAAGGUUUGGAGGGGAAGAAGACAGUGAGGAGGGAGACUGAAUGCCAAGGAGAGAAAGCGGCAACAUGGGUACCAUAUUUUUCUGUAAAACUCAACUACUUAUACCUGAUGAAUCACCCAUGAAUACGGUGGGGAGUGGAGGAGGGGAGAAACCUCAAAACCCAUAUCUGAGAUUCUCUGCUCUAUGAUCCGCAUCUGCUUACAGCUUAUACUUGAGGCUCUUCAGAAAAUCCCUCACUGUCCUUGUGCAGAUGUAUUCCGUACACAUGAAUCAACACUCCUCUGUUCAAAGACUGGGCUAAUGAUGAGUUUACUACCCAGGGGAUUUAUUACCCAUGUGAAGGUGAGCCUGCUGGGAGAUACUUUCAUGGAACAAGAACUUCAGAAGAGUUUUUUCCCCGACAUUGAGUGCCAUACUAAGAAAUAAAGAAGCAAGCUAAAAUACUCUAUUACCAAGAAAAAUAAAGCCAUUAAAAUACAAUAAUUUUCCUUUGAAACUAUGAAAAGUGAAUAGUCUUCCUCCACCAUCUUGGCACAUCUCAGCCUUCCUAUCCUAUAUUCCUCAAGCCUAUCUGCAAUGCUGCCUCCUCCACAGUCUUCCUCCGUGUCCAGACUGGAAAUUACUCUCUGCUGUGGAUUCCCAGAGCAUUUAAUCUCCACCUCUUUUGUAGCAAUUAUGUUUUAAAUAAAUAUUGUAACUUUUUUGAGGACAUCAUACAAUGCUUUGCACAUA
Molecule: non-coding RNA, 3784 nt
Organism: Callithrix jacchus (white-tufted-ear marmoset)
Lineage: Eukaryota; Metazoa; Chordata; Mammalia; Primates; Cebidae
Source: RefSeq, a predicted model, not a curated record